AACAGAGGGUGCAAGCGUUGUUCGGAAUUAUUGGGCGUAAAGGGCGCGUAGGCGGCUUCGUAAGUCGGGUGUGAAAUCCCGGGGCUUAACCCCGGAAGUGCGCCCGAUACUGCGAGGCUUGAGUCCCGGAGAGGGUGGUGGAGUUCCCAGUGUAGAGGUGAAAUUCGUAGAUAUUGGGAGGAAUACCGGUGGCGAAGGCGACCACCUGGACGGUGACUGACGCUGAGGCGCGAAAGCGUGGGGAG
RNAcentral lists this ribosomal RNA (245 nucleotides) under uncultured bacterium. RNAcentral's name for it is "partial 16S ribosomal RNA". It matches the Rfam family "Bacterial small subunit ribosomal RNA", at positions 524 to 768 of the family's 1533-position model. The record is from RNAcentral.